RNAcentral lists this ribosomal RNA (744 nucleotides) under Rahnella aquatilis. RNAcentral's name for it is "bacterial SSU rRNA". It matches the Rfam family "Bacterial small subunit ribosomal RNA", at positions 741 to 1484 of the family's 1533-position model. The record is from RNAcentral. Lineage: Bacteria; Pseudomonadati; Pseudomonadota; Gammaproteobacteria; Enterobacterales; Yersiniaceae.
UGACGCUCAGGUGCGAAAGCGUGGGGAGCNAACAGGAUUAGAUACCCUNGUAGUCCACGCUGUAAACGAUGUCGACUUGGAGGUUGUGCCCNUGAGGCGUGGCUUCCGGAGCUAACGCGUUAAGUCGNCCGCCUGGGGAGUACGGCCGCAAGGUUAAAACUCAAAUGAAUUGACGGGGGCCCGCACAAGCGGUGGAGCAUGUGGUUUAAUUCGAUGCAACGCGAAGAACCUUACCUACUCUUGACAUCCACGGAAUUCGCCAGAGAUGGCUUAGUGCCUUCGGGAACCGUGAGACAGGUGCUGCAUGGCUGUCGUCAGCUCGUGUUGUGAAAUGUUGGGUUAAGUCCCGCAACGAGCGCAACCCUUAUCCUUUGUUGCCAGCACGUAAUGGUGGGAACUCAAAGGAGACUGCCGGUGAUAAACCGGAGGAAGGUGGGGAUGACGUCAAGUCAUCAUGGCCCUUACGAGUAGGGCUACACACGUGCUACAAUGGCAUAUACAAAGAGAAGCGAACUCGCGAGAGCAAGCGGACCUCAUAAAGUAUGUCGUAGUCCGGAUUGGAGUCUGCAACUCGACUCCAUGAAGUCGGAAUCGCUAGUAAUCGUAGAUCAGAAUGCUACGGUGAAUACGUUCCCGGGCCUUGUACACACCGCCCGUCACACCAUGGGAGUGGGUUGCAAAAGAAGUAGGUAGCUUAACCUUCGGGAGGGCGCUUACCACUUUGUGAUUCAUGACNGGGGNGAA